GAUGAACGCUGGCGGCGUGCCUAAUACAUGCAAGUCGAGCGAAUGGAUUAAGAGCUUGCUCUUAUGAAGUUAGCGGCGGACGGGUGAGUAACACGUGGGUAACCUGCCCAUAAGACUGGGAUAACUCCGGGAAACCGGGGCUAAUACCGGAUAACAUUUUGAACCGCAUGGUUCGAAAUUGAAAGGCGGCUUCGGCUGUCACUUACGGAUGGACCCGCGUCGCAUUAGCUAGUUGGUGAGGUAACGGCUCACCAAGGAAACGAUGCGUAGCCGACCUGAGAGGGUGAUCGGCCACACUGGGACUGAGACACGGCCCAGACUCCUACGGGAGGCAGCAGUAGGGAAUCUUCCGCAAUGGACGAAAGUCUGACGGAGCAACGCCGCGUGAGUGAUGAAGGCUUUCGGGUCGUAAAACUCUGUUGUUAGGGAAGAACAAGUGCUAGUUGAAUAAGCUGGCACCUUGACGGUACCUAACCAGAAAGCCACGGCUAACUACGUGCCAGCAGCCGCGGUAA
This 515-nucleotide ribosomal RNA is filed under the name uncultured bacterium. RNAcentral's name for it is "partial 16S ribosomal RNA". It matches the Rfam family "Bacterial small subunit ribosomal RNA", at positions 28 to 523 of the family's 1533-position model. The record is from RNAcentral.